RNAcentral lists this ribosomal RNA (455 nucleotides) under uncultured Bordetella sp. RNAcentral describes it as "bacterial SSU rRNA". It matches the Rfam family "Bacterial small subunit ribosomal RNA", at positions 923 to 1382 of the family's 1533-position model. Lineage: Bacteria; Pseudomonadati; Pseudomonadota; Betaproteobacteria; Burkholderiales; Alcaligenaceae. The record is from RNAcentral.
GCACAAGCGGUGGAUGAUGUGGAUUAAUUCGAUGCAACGCGAAAAACCUUACCUACCCUUGACAUGUCUGGAAUCCCGAAGAGAUUUGGGAGUGCUCGCAAGAGAACCGGAACACAGGUGCUGCAUGGCUGUCGUCAGCUCGUGUCGUGAGAUGUUGGGUUAAGUCCCGCAACGAGCGCAACCCUUGUCAUUAGUUGCUACGAAAGGGCACUCUAAUGAGACUGCCGGUGACAAACCGGAGGAAGGUGGGGAUGACGUCAAGUCCUCAUGGCCCUUAUGGGUAGGGCUUCACACGUCAUACAAUGGUCGGGACAGAGGGUCGCCAACCCGCGAGGGGGAGCCAAUCCCAGAAACCCGAUCGUAGUCCGGAUUGUAGUCUGCAACUCGACUACAUGAAGUCGGAAUCGCUAGUAAUCGCGGAUCAGCAUGUCGCGGUGAAUACGUUCCCGGGUCUU